RNAcentral lists this long non-coding RNA (917 nucleotides) under Salvia miltiorrhiza (redroot sage). RNAcentral's name for it is "long non-coding RNA (SMIL_LNC008133)". The record is from RNAcentral. Lineage: Eukaryota; Viridiplantae; Streptophyta; Magnoliopsida; Lamiales; Lamiaceae.
AGUCAGAGGGUUUUUUAGGACAGUAACUUAGGUCAAUUUCAAAAUUAGGACAAUAAAUUUCGGGCUUGUAAAAGUAGGACACUAAUUAUUAAGUAUUGCACCCGCAGGACAAUUCUGGGCCCAUUAUCAAAUUUCGGGCUUAAUCUAAUGAUGUGUUAAUUCUCAAAUUCCAUGUCAUUAAAAAUAAGAGUGAAUUUGCCACAUAAUCAACCCACCCAUGAUUCAUCAACUUCCCCCAUUCCAUAACUUACGUGAAAUUGUUUCUCCAAGAUAGUGAAGGGUUUGAAGACAUUCUCUGCAACUAAAGCUUGAACCCCCAAAUUUCUCAUUGAUGCGACAAUGGUGAAAGUAAGAGAGAAGAGAUAUUUGCAUCAACCUCCUCCCAUGUACAGUAAGUAUUUCAAACCUUAAAUUUCUGUAUUGGAUUUUACUUAUUUCAUAUAUGAGACCAAAUUGCAACUAUAACUUCAAUUGUUCACAAGAAAUUUGGAUAAGAAGGCAAGGAAAGAUCCCAUUUAUCAAAUACGUACAUCAUAUACUUCGUUUAUACUUACUGAUAUUAAAUUUGAAUGCUUAAAUUUCUGUAUUGUAUUCCACAAUACAAAGUAUUGGAUUUUACUUAUUUCUGUAUUUUUUUAUUCCGAACGUAGAUAUGUCCUUGAAAUUUUUAAUGUAAUUUGUUGUGGUCCAGGGCUAUUUAUUUUAAUAAAUGUGGUGUGUGGCCUCAAUGUUUAUUUUAAUGAAAGAUUUGUAUUUUUCAGUUAUUGUGGUCUUGAAUGUAGGGUUUUAGUAUUUAAUCGAUUUUUUUUGUUGUAGAAAUUGACAAAGGUUAUCUAUCAGUUAAUAUUCAUUAUGAUGGUGCAUUUGUUUCAUCACCUAGUGCAAAAUAUGUUGGGGGUGAUCGAAUGAUAUUAGAC